AGCAUAACAACAUCCACAGACUGACAACAUCCACUAUACACAGACUGACAUCCACUACACAGCAUAACAACAUCCACAGACUGACAACAUCCACUAUACACAGACUGAUAUCCACUACACAGCAUAACAACAUCCACAGACUGACAACAUCCACUAUACACAGACUGACAUCCACUACACAGCAUAACAACAUCCACAGACUGACAACAUCCACUAUCCACAGACUGGCAUCUACUAUACAGCAUAACAACAUCCUUAUACUGACAACAUCCUUAUACUGACAACAUCCUUAUACUAACAACAUCCACUGUAUACAGACUGAUAUCUACUACACAGCAUUACAACAUCCAC
Pelobates cultripes (western spadefoot toad) is the source of this 351-nucleotide non-coding RNA. NCBI's taxonomy places the organism in Eukaryota, Metazoa, Chordata, Amphibia, Anura, Pelobatidae. The record is from the annotation of a GenBank genome assembly.